RNAcentral lists this ribosomal RNA (1273 nucleotides) under Niphargus sp. ND201. Its description in RNAcentral is "partial large subunit ribosomal RNA". It matches the Rfam family "Eukaryotic large subunit ribosomal RNA", at positions 1324 to 2171 of the family's 3401-position model. The record is from RNAcentral. Lineage: Eukaryota; Metazoa; Arthropoda; Malacostraca; Amphipoda; Niphargidae.
AAGGCUUCAGCACGACCCAGUCAGAACUAUAAGUCUCAAAGCCCCGAUGAGUAGGGUGGCGUGCCGGUGCGCGUUGAAGGCCAAGACGUGAGUCAGGCUGGAGCCGCCGGUAGUGCAGAUCUUGGUGGUAGUAGCAAGUACUCUGGUGAACCAACCUGGAGCUGUGAGGUCUGGAUUAGGGUUCCAUGUCAACAGUGAUUGAACAUGGGUGAGUCGAACCUAAGCCAACUGUGAAAGCAGUGACAUCCCGACAAAGGGGCACAUACACCCCCAAACAAAGCUCUCGUAUUGCUCUCUCUCUCUCUCUCUGACGAUAAGAUACAUAUGACACGGCAUAUGAGCAAACACACAAUGAUUACUUUACUAUAAGUGAGUGUGUUUGCAUAUCUCUCUGGUUACGCUCAUAAGCGUUGGCGCAAAAAGUGGAUAAACGAUAUAUAUACAUGUGGCACAAAAAAAAGAGAGAGAGAGAAACGGAGUGGGUGAGCGUGAGUGCACCCUGCGUUGGUUCUAUGUCCGGCGAAAGGGAAUGGGGACUUUGUUCCUUGACCGGUCCUGGCACCCUCGAUUGGCUUUGCCAAUUAAUGGUCCAUGCAAAUGGAACCAGCCCACAGCCGUUGGCAGUCGCCCGAGGAAGAGUUUUCUUUUCUGCUUAACGCACGAGGUCAUCCCUGGAAACAGUUCGGCUGGCGAAAGGGUGCCCCGCUGCGGCAGAGCGCCACGACUGUCGUGCGCGUCUCGGUGUUCCUGCUGAUCCGUGAAGACGUGGUCGAGGGGAAUGCUCUUGUAUCAACGAAACGCCUGACAAGUUCGGGACGGACCGUACCCUAUAUCCGCAUCUGGUCUCCAAGGUUUCUAGCCUCUGCAGAGUCAGUCACAUGUAGGUAAGGGAAGUCGGCAAACUCGAUCCGUAACUUCGGGAAAAGGAUUGGCUCUGAGGGCCGAGCUGGGCCGGGCCUUGCCUGCAAAGCAGUACCUAUAGUGACCGGAGUUGCAGGAGUGCGAGGGGCUCUAGUAGCUGCUUGUGCGUUUUGUGCGUUCGCGCGUGCAUGCGUGUGGGCACGAACGAGUCCACCUCUCCGCUCCAACCACGAACGGCUGUGACGGCAAGGGCUCUGGGCGGGAGCUAUCGGUCCGUUCGCCCCCAGCUUGUCUGGGUGGCGGCGGUGCUCCGUCUGUCCCAUACGGCUCCAGCAGCCAGCGGCUAACUCAGAACUGUCAUGGACCAAGGGAAUCCGACUGUCUAAUUAAAACAAAGCGUCGUGACGGCCCC